This 255-nucleotide ribosomal RNA is filed under the name Triticum aestivum (bread wheat). RNAcentral describes it as "partial small subunit ribosomal RNA". The record is from RNAcentral. Lineage: Eukaryota; Viridiplantae; Streptophyta; Magnoliopsida; Poales; Poaceae.
UCUCACUUUCCUACCUCGUCGCCGCCCAAUCUUCUCGGCUCUUCUCCCCGACCUCUCCUACAUCAAGCUCCAUGGGCUCUCCGGCGAACACGCCAUGCUGCUGAUGUGAGGAUAAGCCAUGGCCUGCGAGCUCAUAGAAUUAGGGGUGACCAUGGCCUGUGAGCUCUCACUGCAAAAUACAGCGGGGGCGGCGAGCGAUCCCAUGGCUGGUGCUGCAAACGAGGUGGCUGCCGGCGGAUUGGACGGCGAGGUCGU